This 354-nucleotide ribosomal RNA is filed under the name uncultured bacterium. RNAcentral describes it as "bacterial SSU rRNA". It matches the Rfam family "Bacterial small subunit ribosomal RNA", at positions 28 to 376 of the family's 1533-position model. The record is from RNAcentral.
GACGAACGCUGGCGGCGUGCUUAACACAUGCAAGUCGAGCGGUAAAGGCCCUUUCGGGGGUACGACGAGCGGCGAACGGGUGAGUAACACGUGGGUGACCUGCCCUCAGCUCUGGGAUAAGCCUGGGAAACCGGGUCUAAUACUGGAUAUGACUCCAUGACGCAUGUUGUGGGGUGGAAAGCCUUGUGCGGCUGAGGAUGGGCCCGCGGCCUAUCAGCUUGUUGGUGGGGNGAUGGCCUACCAAGGCGACGACGGGUAGCCGGCCUGAGAGGGCGGACCGGCCACACUGGGACGUGAGACACGGCCCACGACUCCUACGGGAGGGCAGCAGUGGGGAAGUCUUGCGCAAUGGGC